This is a long non-coding RNA of Dicentrarchus labrax (European seabass), 1467 nucleotides long. RefSeq lists it as uncharacterized. The transcript is spliced from 2 exons. Lineage: Eukaryota; Metazoa; Chordata; Actinopteri; Moronidae. The record is from RefSeq and is a predicted model, not a curated record.
AUCGUUUGAAUACGAAACGUUUUUUUCGCAUAGCAUAUCGUCUUUAUAACUCACCUGUGAUUGCCACGUGGUUGUGUUUUUUUAAAAACAUGAUUUUAUUUAAAUAGACAACAAACUCGACCCACCCUUGCUGUUUUCCAGAUGUUGUAGACGACUGACCAAGCGGAAGCAAUCUGAGCGUUGUUUACUAAUGAGUAAUACUAGCAAUAAAUGUCUUUCCCCAUUAGAUAUGGUUUCUGAGUCUGAUGUCAUAUCCUGCAGGGCACUGGAAAGACUUGGCAGUCUUCCCAGCAGCGCAGCCUCCUGGGGCUGAUUCAGCCAGUGUUCCCACCCAGGAAUCCUGGACGUCUGACAGGAAACAGGCCCAACUCUCCCAAGGCCGCUAUAAGUCAGCUUCUCCCCUCACCCCAAGUCUCCCCCUUACUCGAAAACCUCUCCCGGGACCUUUCUUUAUGCUUGUCUUAGAAAAACCAUCUUACAAAUAGACAUUCUUCCUUACCACACCCCAUUUUCACCCUGCCUGCCCUCUACCCAGCUUCCCAUCAUAGCCCUGUCUUGCUUUAGUCUUCAAUCAACUGAACAAUUUUAUUAGGUAAGAGAGCCAUGAUAAAUGGCUAGUAAACAGUAUUUGCAUAUACAAUUUCAGGCUUUCAUGUUGAAGCUAGUGUUUUUCUUACCAUGUCAGAGCAUGUUUGGAUUAAAUGCUGCAUUUUGAAUAGAUGUAAGCACAAUAGGAAGGCAUCUCAGGACCUGCAGAAAAGCUACUGCUGCCAUUACUUUUCAGCUGAGAAUAACACUCGAACAUGCAAAAUGGAUUCUUUCAGUAUUUCAUUUAUUUUAUAAAAAAAGGAAUGCAAUUAACAAAAAGUUUAUGUACCUACAUUAGUGUUUCAGAUUGUACCGAUUUAACACAGGCAGCGUGCUACUGGACACACAAGGCUAUUGCACACGAGACAUUUCAUACAACACAAAUCAUACAUACUGUACAAAGAUACAUACAUACAUACUUACAAACACACAUAUGUAUUCAUGUAUUUAUCAUUUUUCUUAAAUCAUACAGUCAGGCAACACAACGAAGUGUUAGGUAGACAGAUUAAAACACCUCUCCAUCUGAAAAAACCUGGGGUAAAGCAAACAUCACUGAAGCUGCCAAAGUGCUUUUCACCAUUUGUACUUGGCCGUCUAAAUGUAAAAGUCAAUAUAAAAUACACGGAGGGAGAGAAGAGUUUUAAAUAUGUGUCUACAGGAAGAAGGUUAGUCUAACCCUGAACAACAGGAACCGGACAAUGAAAAACAGGACUUCCUAUGGCUGAAGGAAGUUGCAUGUUGUAGGAUGUCAGAGAAUAAGGAUGAAGCUGACCUCCCAGGAGGGCAGAUCCCCCCUGUGCGUUUGAAACCGGAUCUUCUCCUAUUUUGUAGGGGAGGUGAGGGGUCUUUGGAAAGAUGAGACGUGCUUACAUCUUUAGU